Molecule: long non-coding RNA, 1495 nt
Organism: Gambusia affinis (western mosquitofish)
Lineage: Eukaryota; Metazoa; Chordata; Actinopteri; Cyprinodontiformes; Poeciliidae
Exons: 3
Source: RefSeq, a predicted model, not a curated record
UGUGUAGAAAGGGGAGCUGUUAAAACAAUAACAACAACAACAACAACACUGACUUAAUGUGCUGAUGACCAGAUAAGCCUACAAGAGUUAAGACGAGAGGAAUGAGCCGACAUCACACGCCACAGUUCCUCUUUAGAGUCAGAUAAAAGCUCUAGCUGAGUGACAGAGAGCUCAGUUUCAUUAUGUUUUGUGUCAAGACGUCUGUGCAGACUCCCAGAGAGGGGUCGAGACAUCGCGUUGUGUCCACGUAACGCGUGCAAACAAUACGGACCUGGAUUUUCGUUUUCUGUUGCAUUGUGACAUCCUGAAAUUGUUUCGCUCCUUCAGCAACAACGCGGAGUCGUCUGGGUUCAUAUUUCACCUGAGAGACAGGCGAGCGGAGUGCAGGAAGUCAGGAGUUCGGUCGUCAUCUUGAGACCAUCUGGGAAGCCAUUAAAGUGAUAAAAGAAACAGCGGCUGCUCGACUUAAAUCAGGCUUCUUGGCAGUUGUUUCCAACAGCUCUCAUCUGCAGGCGGCGUUACCGAGAUCUGAUGCCGGGAUGGCCGAGGCUUGACCCUCAUCUUCUGUUUGUGUUACAAAGGAGGUUCUGGGUCUCCAAGGCGACGAAGCCACGAGGACACGAGCACAACUGCAGCACAACCGGAGAGCCCUCAGCUGAUUUACGAGCUCCACGCUCUGUGUGCGCUGACAUUAUUAUGCAGGCAGCUAGCCGGGUCUCGAGCAGCUCCAUAAAGGUUAUUAGGGCUGCUCCACUAAAUCGCACGCAGCCAUAUGGAGACACUGAGGCCAGAUGAGCUUUUAACUGCCGUGUUGUGGAGACAGUCCCUCAAGGGGAGAGAUGGGCCCGCUCCCGUAAAACUGGUCAGCAAAAUUCAGAACUGAACAAGCAGCUUCACUUUUUCCUCCGCAAGUUUCAAAUCGGAGGCUGAGCUCCAUCGUUUCAUCUGGGUUCCUUCCUUCGCACCUCCGUCUCCGAGGAUCAAAGGACUGGAGGAGAGAGGAAAAAUCAAUACAGGAACUGACUCACCUGUGUUCCCAGGCUCUGUCAAGUAAACUAAUUUUCUUUCCCAUGUAUGUAUUUAUUGGGCGCAGACCCUGUACCUGGGGAGGAUGAAGUGGCAUUCAGUGACUUGAAAGAUUGGUUUUCAGUUGGUUUUAAUUUUCGGCUGGCGCCAUUAAAUAGCACUGAAUUCACAAACCGUACAAGGACGUCUGCGUGUAAAGAUUAGAUCUCCAUAAUUGUUAGAUUUUAACUGCAGCUUCAUUCUUUUGCAGAUCAAUUGAUGCUGAUAUGAUAAGACUAAAAAAAUGCCAUUUCAACAACAACUAAGACAGUAAAUAAUCAAUGUAGUUAAUGAGCCACGUAUGUUGUUUACAUGUCCCACUUGCAUGGUUUUAACUAAGCUGUACGCUGACUGCAGACUUUCUGUGAUUUUGUUCUACAUUAAAAACUAUCUUAAAGUUUACUGACAGGCAUUUUGUCCUUGGGACAGU